Molecule: long non-coding RNA, 210 nt
Filed under: Elaeis guineensis (African oil palm)
Lineage: Eukaryota; Viridiplantae; Streptophyta; Magnoliopsida; Arecales; Arecaceae
Description: long non-coding RNA (EGUI_LNC059571)
Source: RNAcentral
GUGGUGUGAGUGAUCUUUUGACCUGUGGUGUCAUUAGCUAUUCAUAGCAAGGCUACUAAGUUUGACUGCACGUUCCCUGGGUCUCUAGCCAUUCGGAUUCUUACUGUGUAUGUUGGCUUCAGUAAAUUCAGAUUCGCUGUUUGGAGUAGGAUGCACCUAGAUGAAAUCUAUCAAUUUUGGUAGAAAAGAAGAAGUCUUAUAUGAUUUAUG